Molecule: long non-coding RNA, 749 nt
Organism: Cyprinus carpio carpio
Lineage: Eukaryota; Metazoa; Chordata; Actinopteri; Cypriniformes; Cyprinidae
Source: Ensembl
AUCCUUCAGUGUUUGCGUAUCCUGGAGUGUCAAUGAUGGUCAGAGAUGUUGGGUUUUCUUCAACAAACACCUCAUAAACAGUGAUCGCAGAUGUCUGGGUUAAUGACUCUUCUAUAUCAUCAUCUUCUUCUGUGAGUUGGUAAAACUCUUCAUCCUCAAACUUCACUCCUAUCUGUAAAGUGCUGGAGGACCUGAAUUUAUGAUAUGAUCUACAAAAGAGAAAUCUAAUUUAGAAAUCAACUUAUGGCAAGCUCACACUACAGGAUUUUUAGCUGGAUUUUGCUGUCACGGACAGAUUUCCAGAGUCUGCGACACAUCCCUCGGAUCACGACCAAAUCGGUGCUCGUUGUGGUCACCGAAGCGACCAAACGGAGCAAGGCCGAUCAAAUUAAACUUACAUUGUCUUCAAGGGAGAAUGCAGGUGGUCCUAGGUGCUGGUUGACGGGGCUGAAGACAGGUAGAACACAGGUUUCGGAGGGUGUGUUGAGAAAUCCCGGCAGCUUUCAGUGAAGCGUGAAUGGAGGCUUGUAUCGCUUUAGAGCAAUGACAUCAUUGAUGACAUCUGAAGCCUCGCUUGACCAGAUUGGAUCAGGAAGUUUACAAAUCUUGUAAAUUCACAGUCCUCUGCCCCAUUAAAUCCAGUCACUUUCCAGUUUUAGACUAAUGAUAUUGCCCCUCCUGCCUAUUAUGAGCAAAGACUUGAUUUACACACAUGCGAUAGCCCCAUACAUUUCAAGCCAAUAUGUUUA